RNAcentral lists this ribosomal RNA (232 nucleotides) under uncultured bacterium. RNAcentral describes it as "partial 16S ribosomal RNA". It matches the Rfam family "Bacterial small subunit ribosomal RNA", at positions 104 to 334 of the family's 1533-position model. The record is from RNAcentral.
CGGGGUGAGUAACGCGUGGGCAACCUGCCUUGCACUGGGGGAUAACAGCCAGAAAUGGCUGCUAAUACCGCAUAAGACCGAAGCGCCGCAUGGCGCGGCGGCCAAAGCCCCGGCGGUGCAAGAUGGGCCCGCGUCUGAUUAGGUAGUUGGCGGGGUAACGGCCCACCAAGCCGACGAUCAGUGGCCGACCUGAGAGGGUGACCGGCCACAUUGGGACUGAGACACGGCCCAG